AGCCAAUGACAGGGGCGUUUGUUGUAAAAGACGAGCUGAGAAGCACCCUUUGAACCUGAACCAGAUCAUGCUGGCGGAGGGAGUCGGUCGAGCGGCACU
Molecule: non-coding RNA, 99 nt
Filed under: Rhizobium oryziradicis
Lineage: Bacteria; Pseudomonadati; Pseudomonadota; Alphaproteobacteria; Hyphomicrobiales; Rhizobiaceae
Description: TPP sequence
Rfam family: TPP riboswitch aptamer (THI element)
About the family: Vitamin B(1) in its active form thiamin pyrophosphate (TPP) is an essential coenzyme that is synthesised by coupling of pyrimidine and thiazole moieties in bacteria. The previously detected thiamin-regulatory element, thi box was extended, resulting in a new, highly conserved RNA secondary structure, the THI element, which is widely distributed in eubacteria and also occurs in some archaea.
Source: Rfam by way of RNAcentral